Small nucleolar RNA from Pyrococcus furiosus DSM 3638, 57 nucleotides. It matches the Rfam family "Small nucleolar RNA sR1". The record is from Rfam. Lineage: Archaea; Methanobacteriati; Methanobacteriota; Thermococci; Thermococcales; Thermococcaceae.
GGCAAUGAUGAGUGAUGGGCGAACUGAAAUAGUGAUGACGGUAGGUGAUCUCUGAGC